Molecule: ribosomal RNA, 523 nt
Filed under: uncultured Diversisporaceae
Lineage: Eukaryota; Fungi; Glomeromycota; Glomeromycetes; Diversisporales
Description: SSU rRNA
Rfam family: Eukaryotic small subunit ribosomal RNA
Source: RNAcentral
AGCAGCCGCGGUAAUUCCAGCUCCAAUAGCGUAUAUUAAAGUUGUUGCAGUUAAAAAGCUCGUAGUUGAACUUCGGGGUUUACUCAUUGGUCAGGCUUAAUUGUCUGUACUGGUGAGAUGAAUCUCUACCUUCUGAGGAACUUUCAUGCCAUUUAUUUGGUGUGAUUGGAAAUCAGGACUGUUACUUUGAAAAAAUUAGAGUGUUUAAAGCAGGCUAACGUCUGAAUACAUUAGCAUGGAAUAAUGAAAUAGGACGGAUUGAUUCUAUUUCGUUGGUUUCUAGGGUCACCGUAAUGAUUAAUAGGGAUAGUUGGGGGCAUUAGUAUUCAAUUGUCAGAGGUGAAAUUCUUGGAUUUAUUGAAGACUAACUACUGCGAAAGCAUUUGCCAAGGAUGUUUUCAUUAAUCAAGAACGAAAGUUAGGGGAUCGAAGACGAUCAGAUACCGUCGUAGUCUUAACCAUAAACUAUGCCGACUAGGGAUCGGACGAAGUUAAUUAAUAAUGACGCGUUCGGCACCUUACG